GGCUAACCUAACCUUAGGUCAAGGAUAACCUCGGGAAACUGAGGAUAAGACUUGAUAGGGAAUGAAUCCUGGAACGGAUUGUUCCAAAAACUCGCGCCUAAGGAUGGGGCUGCGGCUGAUUAGCUAGUUGUUGGUGUAAAGGACUAACAAGGCGAUGAUCAGUAAGGGCUCUUAACGGAGAGGCCCUGAGAAGGAAUCUUAGACACUAUUCCUAGCUCUACGGGGUGCAGCAGCCAAGGAAUUUUUUCAAUGCACGCAAGUGUGAACGAGUGAGCCAGAGUGUUACCUUCAUGGUAACUUUUCUUUGCUGUAAAAAGGCAAAGGAAUAAGGACUGGGCAAGACCGGUGCCAGCCGCCGCGGUAAUCCCGGCGGUCCAAGCCGCAUCCACAUUUAUUAGGUCUAAAACAUCCGUAGCUUGUUCUACAAGUCUCUUGUGAAAUCAGACAUCUCAAGUGUUUGGCGUGCAAGAGAUACUGUAGGGCUUAAUCGAGACCGGAAGACGUAAAGAGUACGAUCAAGGUAAUGGUAAAAUAUAU
RNAcentral lists this ribosomal RNA (537 nucleotides) under uncultured archaeon. Its description in RNAcentral is "bacterial SSU rRNA". It matches the Rfam family "Archaeal small subunit ribosomal RNA", at positions 102 to 642 of the family's 1478-position model. The record is from RNAcentral.